GACGAACGCUGGCGGCGUGCCUAACACAUGCAAGUCGAGCGAUGAAAUUCCUUCGGGAAUGGAUUAGCGGCGGACGGGUGAGUAACACGUGGGUAACCUGCCUCAUAGAGGGGAAUAGCCUUCCGAAAGGAAGAUUAAUACCGCAUAAUGUAGUACCUUCGCAUGAAGGAACUAUCAAAAGAGCAAUCUGCUAUGAGAUGGACCCGCGGCGCAUUAGCUAGUUGGUGAGGUAACGGCUCACCAAGGCGACGAUGCGUAGCCGACCUGAGAGGGUGAUCGGCCACAUUGGAACUGAGACACGGUCCAGACUCCUACGGGAGGCAGCAGUGGGGAAUAUUGCGCAAUGGGGGAAACCCUGACGCAGCAACGUCGCGUGAAUGAAGAAGGCCUUCGGGUUGUAAAGUUCUGUCUUAUGGGAAGAUAAUGACGGUACCAUAGGAGGAAGCCACGGCUAACUACGUGCCAGCCGCCGCGGUAA
This 478-nucleotide ribosomal RNA is filed under the name uncultured bacterium. Its description in RNAcentral is "partial 16S ribosomal RNA". It matches the Rfam family "Bacterial small subunit ribosomal RNA", at positions 28 to 523 of the family's 1533-position model. The record is from RNAcentral.